Molecule: ribosomal RNA, 515 nt
Filed under: uncultured chicken cecal bacterium
Lineage: Bacteria
Description: bacterial SSU rRNA
Rfam family: Bacterial small subunit ribosomal RNA
Source: RNAcentral
AGAGUUUGAUCCUGGCUCAGGAUGAACGCUGGCGGCGUGCUUAACACAUGCAAGUCGAACGGGGAACCCCUGACGGAGGAUUCGUCCAACUGAAGGGAAUUCCUAGUGGCGGACGGGUGAGUAACGCGUGAGGAACCUGCCUUGGAGUGGGGAAUAACAGCCCGAAAGGGCUGCUAAUACCGCAUGAUGCACAAUGGCUGCAUGGCCGAUGUGCCAAAGAUUUAUCGCUCUGAGAUGGCCUCGCGUCUGAUUAGCUAGUUGGUGGGGUAACGGCCCACCAAGGCGACGAUCAGUAGCCGGACUGAGAGGUUGGCCGGCCACAUUGGGACUGAGACACGGCCCAGACUCCUACGGGAGGCAGCAGUGGGGAAUAUUAGGCAAUGGGCGCAAGCCUGACCCAGCAACGCCGCGUGAAGGAAGAAGGCUUUCGGGUUGUAAACUUCUUUUCUUAGGGACGAAGGAAGUGACGGUACCUAAGGAAUAAGUCCGGCUAACUACGUGCCAGCAGCCGCGGU